GACGAGGGGUCCAAGCGUUGUUCGGAAUCAUUGGGCGUAAAGCGGGUGUAGGCGGCUCUAUAAGUCAGAAGUGAAAGCCCCGAGCUUAACUUGGGAAGUGCUUUUGAUACUGCAGAGCUUGAAUGUGGGAGAGGUUAGUGGAAUUCCUGGUGUAGUGGUGAAAUACGUAGAUAUCAGGAGGAACACCGGUGGCGAAGGCGGCUAACUGGCCCAACAUUGACGCUGAGACCCGAAAGCAUGGGGAUCAAACAGG
Molecule: ribosomal RNA, 253 nt
Filed under: uncultured bacterium
Lineage: Bacteria
Description: partial 16S ribosomal RNA
Rfam family: Bacterial small subunit ribosomal RNA
Source: RNAcentral